Molecule: unclassified non-coding RNA, 424 nt
Filed under: Hevea brasiliensis (rubber tree)
Lineage: Eukaryota; Viridiplantae; Streptophyta; Magnoliopsida; Malpighiales; Euphorbiaceae
Source: RNAcentral
UGAUGCUUCCACUUUUUUGACUUGACAUUGAUCCAAAGCCACUCAGAGCUGCAGACAUACACUGAUGUGACAACUGACGUAGAGCAGAAAGCAGUGACUUGACCGCAGAUAGAUGCAUCAGAGCUGAGCUCUCAAACAGCUGAGAAUUCAGGGAAGAAAGAAUAUGAAAAUCACUAUAUUGGCCAGAAGAAUCUCUGGUGAGCUUAGGCACAGCUGUAGAGACCUCCUGUGUAGUUGCAUGUGGAGAAUGAAUAGCUCGGUCAAGAGAAGCCAGUGUCUCCAGUACCAAGCUCCAUGAAGGACCUAAAACAUUAUGCAGCCGAUGAGAUAUGUUGAAUAGUGUUCUAAGUGCCUGCACAUUCUUAGGAGUAAGAACAACAGUUUCCCUUGGCUCAAGAAAUGCUUCUGACCGCUUAGAUCCAGG